Molecule: long non-coding RNA, 821 nt
Filed under: Solanum tuberosum (potato)
Lineage: Eukaryota; Viridiplantae; Streptophyta; Magnoliopsida; Solanales; Solanaceae
Description: long non-coding RNA (STUB_LNC010972)
Source: RNAcentral
UUGGCUAAUUACACGAUUCUGGAAUUGGAUUUUGAAAUUUACUCUUAAUGUAGUAGUGGAACUCCAUUUCGGUCUCUUCAAUUUUGAAAUUCAAAUCCUUUCUCUGUGAAUCUUGGCCAAUUUAUACACUUCUGGGAUCUGGGUUUUUAAAUUUUGCUUGUGGAAGGUUGAAGUUUAGAUGAUCUUGGAACCUUGUGUGUCAAAAAUAGAAAUUAUUUGCAGGAAGAGCAGGUGAAAAUGAGGGAUAAGAUAAGCAAAUUCACCUUGGCCUCUAGUUAUAUGCUGCGUUUUACUCAAAUGAAGUGAGAAUUUAUUCUACUCUGUUUCGGAAAGCGUGGGAACUUUUUCGACUUGAUUUUGUUUUGUUUAUGGGUAAAAAGGGGGGAUGGGCUGGAUAAAAAGGGGAUGAAUCUCAAGUUCGAAACCCCUUGCCAGCGAAAGCAAGGGGUUUGCCUUCUGGGUCGAGCUCGUCGCACCAGGCUUGCCUAGUGCGGGUUACCUCUCCUAUGUGGUUUGCGAGCUAUUGCAUAGGAGCGGGGGUUUUACCCUGUGCGCACCCAAAGGGUAGCGGCUGCGGGGUUCCUUUGUCAUAAAAAAAAAAAAAAAGAAAAAAAAAAAAGGGGAUGAAUUGGGUAAAAUCAAAGGGGAUUCAGUUUGGGGUUUAAUUGUGUUUGAACUGCGAGACAGUUGGGUUGAACCGGGUUUAGUAGGGACUAAUGGUGGGUUAGUCAAGGGAAUAAAUACCCCACUUUCGUCACAGCGAGGGCUUAAAACUGCCAUUUUACUAAUGGAGGGCAAACGUGCUUGUCGAAUAGCGGGAC